AUUGAAAGCCGUAUUAAAAGCCGUAUUAAAAGCUGUAUUAAAAACAUACACAAGAUCCGUUUUUAGAUAUAAGAUAAGCACAUACAUGACAACCUACACAACAAACAAAAUGUUAAACACGUUGAGAAAGUUAAACGAUUACAGCAAUUUUUUGCCUACACAAAUCAAGAGUAAAGUAAAGAAGGAAAAAUAUAUAAUAUUAAACGAAAUAAAAAGAAUUACAACUGUUAAAAAAAAUGAUGCAUAUAACGUUACUUUUGUUAUAAAGUUGUUCAAUUCUUACGAAAUUAUUAAUACAGAGAAAUAUGAAUCAUUUCAUUUUUAUAUAUUUAUGAUUAGAUAUUUGUGGCGUUCACUGUUAAAUAAAAAUCUAGGUCCAAGUUUGAAAACAUAUAUUUGCCAAGUUAUUUCAAAUAUAUUAAAGAACAUAAAAAAGUAUAUUUUGGAUGACUUUUUUUUUAAUAAUAAUAUAAAUUUAAUUGAAAAAAAAACACAUGAAGUUGAUGAUUUGUUUAAGCAGAUGAGUGGUAGAACUAAUGAUGGAGUUAUGACUAGUAAUGAUAAUAUUAACUAUGACAGUGAAGUAACAAAUAAUUCAUAUGAAGAUCUUAGUGACAGUUAUUAUAAUGAAUAUAAAAAAAAUAAUGAUGAAAGUGAUAAUGACAGUAGUUCUUAUGAAAAUAAAGAAGAAGUAUCUACUCAUAGUACUUAUAAUGUUAUGUAUGAUGGUAUAUAUGAUAAAAAUGAAGAUUAUGAUAAAAAUAAUUUUUUAAAUGAAGAAGUUAUAAUUAAUAAAAAAAAUGAAAGUUUUCGUUUAUAUAUUCAAAAGUAUAUAUUAGACAUUAUAGAUUAUAAAUAUUUAUUUAAUUUGUUGUAUGAUUAUUUAAAUAAUUAUAACAUUAAACAUAAUGAAUGUAGUUACAAUAUGAAAAAAAAAUUUUAUAGGUUCUGUGUUAAAUGUUCUAAUCAAUUUAAAAUCAUUUUGUUAUUAUAAUAUGAAUAUACAUAAUUUUUUAAUUAAAUUUUCAUUAAAUAAUAUAUUUGCAGUAGAAUAUGAAGAAUAUAUAAAUAAAGAAAAAAAAUUUAAGUUUAUUCA
Piliocolobus tephrosceles (Ugandan red Colobus) is the source of this 1096-nucleotide long non-coding RNA. Lineage: Eukaryota; Metazoa; Chordata; Mammalia; Primates; Cercopithecidae. The record is from Ensembl.